AGAGCGAACGCUGGCGGCAGGCUUAACACAUGCAAGUCGAGCGGGCGUAGCAAUACGUCAGCGGCAGACGGGUGAGUAACGCGUGGGAACAUACCUUUUGGUUCGGAACAACACAGGGAAACUUGUGCUAAUACCGGAUAAGCCCUUACGGGGAAAGAUUUAUCGCCGAAAGAUUGGCCCGCGUCUGAUUAGCUAGUUGGUGAGGUAACGGCUCACCAAGGCGACGAUCAGUAGCUGGUCUGAGAGGAUGAUCAGCCACAUUGGGACUGAGACACGGCCCAAACUCCUACGGGAGGCAGCAGUGGGAAUAUUGGACAAUUGGCGCAAGCCUGAUCCAGCCAUGCCGCGUGAGUGAUGAAGGCCCUAGGGUUGUAAAGCUCUUUUGUGCGGGAAGAUAAUGACGGUACCGCAAGAAUAAGCCCCGGCUAACUUCGUGCCAGCAGCCGC
Molecule: ribosomal RNA, 447 nt
Filed under: uncultured bacterium
Lineage: Bacteria
Description: SSU rRNA
Rfam family: Bacterial small subunit ribosomal RNA
Source: RNAcentral